This 433-nucleotide ribosomal RNA is filed under the name uncultured bacterium. RNAcentral's name for it is "partial 16S ribosomal RNA". It matches the Rfam family "Bacterial small subunit ribosomal RNA", at positions 29 to 507 of the family's 1533-position model. The record is from RNAcentral.
AACGAACGCUGGCGGCAUGCCUAACACAUGCAAGUCGAACGAGCCCUUCGGGUCUAGUGGCCCACGGGUGCGUAACGCGUGGGAACCUGCCCUUAGGUUCGGAAUAACUAUCCGAAAGGGGUGCUAAUACCGGAUAAUGUCUUCGGACCAAAGAUUUAUCGCCUUUGGAUGGGCCCGCGCUGGAUUAGCUAGUUGGUAGGGUAAAAGCCUACCAAGGCGACGAUCCAUAGCUGGUCUGAGAGGAUGAUCAGCCACACUGGGACUAAGACACGGCCCAGACUCCUACGGGAGGCAGCAGUGGGGAAUAGUGGACAAUGGGCGAAAGCCUGAUCCAGCAAUGCCGCGUGAGUGAUGAAGGCCUUAGGGUUGUAAAGCUCUUGUACCCGGGAUGAUAAUGACAGUACCGAGAGAAUAAGCUCCGGCUAACUCCGUG